Molecule: ribosomal RNA, 198 nt
Filed under: uncultured bacterium
Lineage: Bacteria
Description: partial 16S ribosomal RNA
Rfam family: Bacterial small subunit ribosomal RNA
Source: RNAcentral
GGCUGAAAUUCGCCUUCAUGAAGCCGGAAUUGCUAGUAAUGGCAGGUCAGCAUACUGCCGUGAAUACGUUCCCGGGCCCUUGUACACACCGCCCGUCACACCAUGAGAGUUGGGGAUACCCGAAGCCUGUGAGCUAACUUUUAGAGGCAGCAGUCGAAGGUAGAAUCAAUGAUUGGGGUGAAGUCGUAACAAGGUAGC